AGUAAGUCAGACGGUUGCGUGGCUUAUGCUAUGAGGAAAGUCCGGGCUUCACAGGGCAGGAUACCGGCUAACGGCCGGCGGAGGCGACUCCAGGGACAGUGCAACAGAAAAUAAACGCCGCCUUACAGCGGUAAGUGUGGAAAUGUGAGGUAAGAGCUCACAGGGAAGAUGGUAACUGAAUUCCCGUGUAAACCCUAUCCGAAGCAACUUUGGAGCAAUUAAGGCUGCCCGCCGCUGCUCCUUGCAAGGCUAAAGACUGCCGGUAACGGCAGUAUUAGAUAGAUAAUCGUCUGAUACAGAACCCGGCUUACAGACUUGCUCA
This 322-nucleotide RNase P RNA is filed under the name human gut metagenome. RNAcentral's name for it is "Bacterial RNase P class A". It matches the Rfam family "Bacterial RNase P class A". Rfam says of the family: Ribonuclease P (RNase P) is a ubiquitous endoribonuclease, found in archaea, bacteria and eukarya as well as chloroplasts and mitochondria. Its best characterised activity is the generation of mature 5'-ends of tRNAs by cleaving the 5'-leader elements of precursor-tRNAs. The record is from RNAcentral.